CUCUAAAUACCAUUGCUCUGGUUGCGUGUCUGGAAAAUCUCAAAGUUUUCAUUUUCAGGAUCGAGGAGACGCCGGAGUUCCACCAAAACGAGCACGCCACGGAAAUUGAUGCACAGAAUCUCAAUUUGUUCCCUUUAUUCACCUAAUUUAUAGAUUUUUUUUCUUAAAAUUACAAUUUUUAUCGCUUUUUCUGAAUUUUAACCCCCCAAAACAUCAAAAACUCGUCGAUCUCUGUAAUGUCCUUCCCGAUUCCCAUGAUAUUUAAAUGUUUCCUCCUUUUUUGAUGUUUCUUCCCCGAUUUUUCCCGAAAAAAAUACAAUUGUAACUUGUCGACAAAUACGUGUGUUAUCGAUUAAAGUUUUAUUUAUCGAUUAAAUUCUCUCUGUGAAAUUCGUUUGAAUAAUAAUUUAUUUGCCUUUCUUUCUUGAGCAGUUUUUGCUUUUCGGGUUUCCUUUUUUCAGAAAAUAAAAA
Molecule: non-coding RNA, 471 nt
Organism: Caenorhabditis elegans
Lineage: Eukaryota; Metazoa; Nematoda; Chromadorea; Rhabditida; Rhabditidae
Source: Ensembl